GACGAACGCCGGCGGCGUGCUUAACACAUGCAAGUCGAACGGAAAGGCCUCUUUCGGGGGGUACUCGAGUGGCGAACGGGUGAGUAACACGUGAGUAACCUGCCCUUGACUUUGGGAUAACUUCAGGAAACUGGGGCUAAUACCGGAUAGGAGCUCCUGCUGCAUGGUGGGGGUUGGAAAGUUUCGGCGGUUGGGGAUGGACUCGCGGCUUAUCAGCUUGUUGGUGGGGUAGUGGCUUACCAAGGCUUUGACGGGUAGCCGGCCUGAGAGGGUGACCGGCCACAUUGGGACUGAGAUACGGCCCAGACUCCUACGGGAGGCAGCAGUGGGGAAUAUUGCACAAUGGGUGGAAGCCUGAUGCAGCAACGCCGUGUGCGGGAGGACGGCCUUCGGGUUGUAAACCGCUUUCGCUCAUGACGAAGCUUUGUGUGACGGUAGUGGGUAAAGAAGCACCGGCUAACUACGUG
This 467-nucleotide ribosomal RNA is filed under the name uncultured bacterium. Its description in RNAcentral is "partial 16S ribosomal RNA". It matches the Rfam family "Bacterial small subunit ribosomal RNA", at positions 28 to 507 of the family's 1533-position model. The record is from RNAcentral.